GACGAACGCUGGCGGCGUGCCUAAUACAUGCAAGUAGAACGCUGAAGGAGUAGCUUGCUCUUCUGGAUGAGUUGCGAACGGGUGAGUAACGCGUAGGUAACCUGCCUGGUAGCUGGGGAUAACUAUUGGAAACGAUAGCUAAUACCGCAUAAAAUUCAUUAUUGCAUUGUAGUCAAUUAAAAUUUGCACUUUGAUCGCUACCAUAUGGACCUGCGUUGUAUUAUCUAGUUGGUGAGGUAAAGGCUCAACAAGGCAACGCUACAUAUGCGGGCCGAGGAGGGGGUUCGCCCACACGGGAACGGGAAAACGCCCAGGAUUCUACGGGGGGGCGGAGGAGGGAAAUAUCGGCAAUUGGGGGAAGUCUGGCCGAACCACGACGGGUGAGGGAAGAAGGGUUUCGGAGCGGUAAGGUCCGUUGUAAGGGAAGAAAGAGUGUGAGAGUGGAAAGUUCACGCUGUGACGGUACCUAAACAGAAAGCGACGGCUAACUACGUG
RNAcentral lists this ribosomal RNA (495 nucleotides) under uncultured bacterium. RNAcentral's name for it is "partial 16S ribosomal RNA". It matches the Rfam family "Bacterial small subunit ribosomal RNA", at positions 28 to 507 of the family's 1533-position model. The record is from RNAcentral.